CAUGUAGGCGGUAUAUCAAGUCUGGUGUGAAAGAUCUCGGCUCAACCGAGAAAACGCACUGGAAACUGAUAAACUAGAGUAUAGGAAGGGAAGCUAGAAUUCCAGGUGUAGGGGUGAAAUCUGUAGAUAUCUGGAAGAAUACCGGUGGCGAAGGCGAGCUUCUGGCCAUAUACUGACGCUGAUAUGCGAAAGCGUGGGGAGCGAACAGGAUUAGAUACCCUGGUAGUCC
RNAcentral lists this ribosomal RNA (229 nucleotides) under uncultured bacterium. Its description in RNAcentral is "partial 16S ribosomal RNA". It matches the Rfam family "Bacterial small subunit ribosomal RNA", at positions 568 to 796 of the family's 1533-position model. The record is from RNAcentral.